UACGUAGGAGACGAGCGUUGUCCGGAGUUACUGGGCGUAAAGGGUGCGCAGGUGGCGGCGCGCGUGGGGGGUGAAAUCGCCCGGCUUAACUGGGCGGGGGCCUUCCAGACGGCGUGGCUUGAGCAGCGGAGGGGGACGUGGAAUUCCGGGUGGAGCGGUGAAAUGCGUAGAGAUCCGGAGGAACACCGACGGCGCAGGCAGCGUCCUGGCCGCUUGCUGACACUGAGGCACGAAAGCUGGGGGAGCAAACAGGAUUAGAUACCCUGGUAGUCCCAGCCGUAAACGAUGUCCACCAGGUGCUGGGCGGAUCGACCCGUUCAGUGCCGCAGCUUACGUGAUGAGUGGACCGCCUGGGGAGUACGGCCGCAAGGUUGAA
RNAcentral lists this ribosomal RNA (376 nucleotides) under uncultured bacterium. Its description in RNAcentral is "bacterial SSU rRNA". It matches the Rfam family "Bacterial small subunit ribosomal RNA", at positions 524 to 898 of the family's 1533-position model. The record is from RNAcentral.